Molecule: microRNA precursor, 204 nt
Filed under: Oryza sativa Indica Group (long-grained rice)
Lineage: Eukaryota; Viridiplantae; Streptophyta; Magnoliopsida; Poales; Poaceae
Description: MIR812 microRNA precursor family
Rfam family: MIR812 microRNA precursor family
Source: Rfam by way of RNAcentral
UAUAAGGGAUUUUGAGUUUUUGCUUGUAAUGUUUGACCACUCGUCUUAUUUAAAAAUUUUUGAAAUUAUUAAUUAUUUUAUUUGUGACUUACUUUAUUAUCUACAUUACUUUAAGCACAACUUUUCGUUUUUUAUAUUUGCAAAAAAAAAUUUGAAUAAGACGAGUGGUCAAACGUUACAAGCAAAAACUGAAAAUCCCUUAUA